AGAGAAGGUUAAAGGAAGAUGAGAUGGAAGCUCUGAUAAAAAAUGGCAAGGUCACCAAGAAGGACUCUGUGAUAACAUGCACAGUUUGUGAUGCUAAGGGCCACAACAAGAGGUUUCAUGGUGCUGGUGCUUCUACAAGGCAACAACAAAUGAGGGAAAAACUGCUUGUGAUGAGAAAGACAAAAAAACAGCAAAAGAAAAAGGAAUCAAUGGUGAAAAUAGUGCACAAAAUGUGUUUGAAACAUAUGAAGAUGAUCACAUAGCUUCAAAUGUGUUUAAUAUUGACCAACCUGAUCAUGAAGAUGACUAUGGGGCUUCUACAGGCAUAGCUCCUUUAGGGACAACUUCAACAUUUGAUAAUUUGUCACCACUAAUACCAUUGUCACAGUUAUUCAAUAUAACACCAUCAACAAAACAAGUACAAAAACCUGCAGUUGAGCUUGGCAUACUAGCUCAUUUAGUUGAUUGUAGUGAUUAUGCUUCACAGUGGAAAUCACAUUUACACUUUAUCACAUGACCUUCAAAAACUACCACCAAGAAGACUAAGAGCAUUAAUGAUUUGUUGACUGAGCUACCACCAGAUUUGGGUAUUGGAAGACUUUCACAAACACAAAAAGGAGGAAUUGCAAAAAAGCCAGUAACUGAAGCUAAGGGAAAAAAGACUUUCAAACCCCCAAGGUUGUUGAGCAAAGAUGUUGGGGCUGAAGGAGUUAGACAAUAACAAAGCUUCAAGAUAAAGGAAAACAAAAGAUUGAUGGAAGUGUUUCAACAAAGAAGAGAGCUUGGGUGCCUCCAGAAAAUGCAAAGAACAAAAGAAUUAGAAUUGGAAAGAAUUAAAAUUGUUUUCUAUUUUUGAAACCCCAAAUAAUAAUGUUUGUUUUGGUUGUUGUAUUGUUAAUAUAUGUAUGGACCUAACAUGUGGUCCUUUGACAGAUUUUUUUGUAAUGGCUUUUGAUAGCCUUGGGUGUAGGGUUCAUGAAAUUUCCACAUCCAUUCACUUUUUGUUCAAAGAUUUAAUU
Long non-coding RNA from Ricinus communis (castor bean), 1019 nucleotides. RefSeq lists it as uncharacterized. Lineage: Eukaryota; Viridiplantae; Streptophyta; Magnoliopsida; Malpighiales; Euphorbiaceae. The transcript has 3 exons. The record is from RefSeq and is a predicted model, not a curated record.